Molecule: non-coding RNA, 45 nt
Filed under: Mytilus galloprovincialis (Mediterranean mussel)
Lineage: Eukaryota; Metazoa; Mollusca; Bivalvia; Mytilida; Mytilidae
Rfam family: Histone 3' UTR stem-loop
About the family: The mRNAs of metazoan histone genes lack a poly-A tail. 3' end processing occurs at a site between a highly conserved stem-loop (modelled by this family) and a purine rich region around 20 nts downstream (the histone downstream element, or HDE). The stem-loop is bound by a 31 kDa stem-loop binding protein (SLBP - also termed the histone hairpin binding protein, or HBP).
Source: RNAcentral
UCAAAGGCCCUUUUCAGGGCCAAUCAUAUAUUUCAAAAAGAAUCU